CGCGUUAUACCUGUUGAGAUAUUUUAUGGCAUGCUAGAGUUUCAGAAAACCUAUCACUUAUUAUGCUAGUAGUUUUCAUUAUAAACUCUGGGGGUUAGUAUGUUCAUAACUCUUUUCGUAUUAUGUUUAUGUAUAUAAACUUGGUCCACUCACCUUUGUUUUGCGCCCCCUUUCAGGAUUUAGAAUUGAGACAUACGAUCCCGACGUCAACGCUUUCGAAUUGGUAUAUUCGAGUCCUCUCGGUGUAGGACCUACACCCUUUUAUUUAUUAAAUUUUACAUUAAUUCUUUUAUAACUCUAGUUAGUUGUAUGCUAUGAACACGUUCCUAAAUUAUUAAUUCAUUGUAUUUUAAAUUCAUAACCCUUAUUUAUUUCUUAUUCUUAGCUUUUGUAUCAAUUAAUGGCUUUCGUCACCCUCGGGUGUCGGCCAGCACGUGUCUAUCUUGGUAUUCAGGGAAUAUCAGGGUCGGGGCAUGUCAGAUUUGUAUCAGAGCGUGGUUUGUUUAGAGCAUACUUAGGAUUCUCUUCUAUUCUCGUAAAGUGUCAGUUUUGACUUCAUUUGGAUGUCAAGACUUCUAGAUUUGAUGCCAUUCAACGCAGUUGUGCAAACCUUUCUCUGUUUGAAUUGUCACCUUCUUGUUGAAAUUUAAGAAAUUAUGUUAGGAUUGUGCCUCAUUGGUGAUGUGUUUGAUUGUUGGACGACUUUCAACAUAGGACGAUACUCUACGGCAUGCAUUUCCUAGGAAUUGCGAGCGGAGUCGGCUCUAUAUCAAAAUCUUGGGAAACGGAAAAAAAAAAUCUUGGCGGUACAAAUUGGCUAAGACCAACUGGAGUUCUGAAACGAGGAUAUCACUCUGCGACAUGCGUUCCCUGGGAAUGGUAGGCAGAGUCAUAUCUCUUGGAAAAUUGCUCAAAACAUUCAAAGUGCGUACUAAAUAAGCGAGUAAGUGCUAGUGGUGACAACGAUUAGUAGGUAGUAGUUGGUGGAGCAAAUCAAUGUUCUCGGACUCGUUCCUACUGAGGAAAUUCAUGUGGAUCUUUAGAACAAUUCUUGGUGAUUGUUCUAUCAUAACCUUCUUGCUUAUUCCAAUAAUGAAGUUAAGUUCACUGACUUUUGACAGUCAGCUUGACAUCAAAUUCUACGAGCGUUGGCUUCGUUUACAUUAAUUGCUUUUCUUGGGAAACUCAUCGAUAGCAUACGCUAUUCUCACCAAUUUUUCAAAAAGAGUUGCGAUUCCUAUCGUUGUUGUGAUUGGAUUUAGAUGAUGAAGAUCCAGCCUUGUUUGGAUAAAGAGUCUCUCUUUGAAUUUCACCUGGGUCUAGUACUCAGUGGUAAACCCUAGCUUCUAGUUCUCGUACUUGUCGGUUCAAAUGAACUUAGCCUCUUACUUGUAGCCCAACUGACUAGUGCUUUUGUCCACUAAAUGUUCAGCCUUGUGAUUUUCAGAGUGAUGGUUUAAGACUCUACCACAUUCAUCAUUGUACGAAGAUCGAGCUUUACUCUGAACUUCUCUGGACUCAUUGAGCUUUGGGUUGCUCAAGGGCAUCACUUUAUGGUAGCCAAUUGUAUCACUACAUGCAUACAUAAGCUGCCUUGUAUCUUUCUUCUUCUAUGUUGAUUCAGAGGUUCUAUGUUUAAUUUUUGAACUUUGAAACAGCUCUCACAAAGUAUUGUGAAUUUUCGAAUUGUCUUUGGCCUAUUCAAAUCUUAUUGACAGUUCUUAACUAUUCUUGAGCUUAGACCUAUUUUCCUUUUUGGCUAAGAAACCAAUUAGCCUUACUGUGGUGGUUAACCAAAUAAUCAUAAACAGUGACUUCUAUUUCUGUAUCUUCACCUUCUCGACAUAGUUUCUCACUCAAUCAGUAAGGGAAUAAUGAUCGAUCGAUUCGACGAAUGCUUACGCCUAGUUUCAUAACGAUGCUAGUGAGAAUAUUUGGAGCAUAACCUUUUCGCAAUUUUACUAGUCUUAUCGAGAAUAUUUUCUUUUGGCUUGAGGUUUGAGCCGUCUCUUAGUAAAAGUUUGGUGAAGGUAGUAGUACUGGUGGUCAAUGGAUUGCAUCACGAAUCACUAUCUUCACGCAAGGAUGUUUAAUCACCAAUCACUUUCUUGCUACAAUUCAUAGCCAUCGCAUUGUACUCUAAUAGUCAUUUUCCAACGAUGUGUGUUCGUCUUAACACCUCUUCUCACAACUUCACUUAGGAUCCCUUGUUCGUGAAUACGCGGACAUCGAAGCACUCUUAGCAAAUUGAUUUGGUGCACUCAGGAAAGGUACGACAGCGCGAUCGAGACAAGAAUAGGAUGACCUUUACACUUCUCGCGAAAGGUGUGUACUCUCAUAGGGUUUUCAAGUUGAUCACUUUUGAGCCAUUCUUUCUACCAACAUUAACCUUGUUUGAUUAGAAAUCUACAACUAAGCAAAACUGGAAAGGUGGUUUGAGCUCUUAAGUAUGCUACUAUCAUGGUAGCCACUUCUCUUGAAUCCCAAAGUACCGUUGUCAAGUGGGUUCUUCAUUGGCAAAACCUUGGAGUAGUUGGUCACAUUUGGAAGAACUGAGGAGAAUAUAAUGUUUGGUGCUAGAUAAAGUUUUACGACGACAAUUUUUGUUUUGUUCGGUUUGGUGUAUGGCAUUUUUUACGACAUGGUACGAGAGUUUCCUACGGGCAACAUUGGUUGACAGAGGAGUAUUGUGGACUGAUAUUUGGAGGAUUGAAUUUACGACGUGUGGAAUUGUGCAUCCUCAGGAAAUUACUACUUGCUUAUCGAGACAACAAAUUUGUGGUCGAUAUUGCAGGCUGCAGACUAUGAUAUCGAUAGCUUAUUUGUUAGGUUCAUUAAGCUAGUGGGCAGGAAGACCUGUCUUCAGCAGUGGUUACAGGUUUAUUAUUGUUGGGGCUCGACCCAAAGACACAACUAUUCUCGGAGUACGUGACAUUUCGAAUUCUUGGGCAAGAUCCACUUUCAUUUCCGAUUUUGGAUUUUCAGUAUAAAUAAUUUAACUUCCGUUACUAGCUAUUUAUUUUGACGUUACAAAUGUUUUGGGGGAAGUAUUUCCGUUUUCAGUUUUAAGUUUAGCAUGAAUUUUCGACCUAUAUGUUUUUGCCUUUUUAUUUUGAUACUAUCGUGUUUUACGUAUGUAUUUUUGACCCUACGUCAAUAUAUGUUUUCGACUUUAUAUCUUUGUUUCUACUUUUACACUGAUGGGGAAGAAAGUAAGAGCUUGGGGGCAUGAUAGAGGAUUUUGCAAUCUGCUCGUGACGGUGUGGCAUAUUCUCUUUGAUGCACCCAGUCUGACUUGAUUUCUCUUUAUACAUAUACAUAUAUUCUUCUUCCUAUUUUUUUGAGUAUUUCAGUUUAGUAAGUGAUUUUAAAUUUCAAGGACGAAAUUUUUUCUUAAGGGGGGUAGAUUUUAACAACCCACUUCAAAAAUUAUGUACUAAAUUAUGAAAAUACCCUUGUGUGGAUAUUUUACCCAAGCCACUUUGCUUUCUUUCUUUACCUAUGAACUUUCUCCCCUUCCCAAGAACCCAUUCUCCCUCACAAUCCAUGUAAACCCCAUUGUUUAUUUCCCUCCUAUGACACCCUAUUCCUCGUGUUCACUCUCUCCCAUAUCUCGAGCUCCUUCUCUCCCUCAAGAUCUCUGCAACUCUUAGCUCUCUCUCUCUCCUCAACAAUAAUCUGUAACCUUUCUCUCUCUAAGCUCCGAGAAGGAACCCCCACCAUUUCUCUUGAUACUGACCAAAUCAACCCUAAAAAAUCUGAACCUCGAACCCUUGAGACAUGGGGAAUCCACCUAUGACGUUGUACAUAUCAUCGAUGCACCAUCGGGUGCUUUGCCAUUAACGUAGAGAGCUCCCUCAAACUAUAUCUCAUGUAUGAAUUAUUUCCCUCUUGGUUGUGUUAGUUUUAAUCUAUAUGUGAUGAGGAUGUCGAAAAUCUCUGGGGUUAAUCUCUCUGUUUAGAAUCUGUGCAUGCAUGUCAUUCCGGCGACAAAUUCCGGUGAAUGUCGUUGAGUUCGAAGCUAGGUGAUGACUGUCUUCUUGGGGUUUAGCUCAAUUUAGACUUUUAAAGUAUUGUUGGGCUAACCUAUACUUAAAUUUGUGGGUUUAACUCUUUGCAUGCACUCAUUCUCUUGGUCUUAGUUUUCGACGGUGAACCUGCUCUUUUUCUGGCGAGUUUGAAGGUGUUGGCACUCGAACUCGUUCGAACACUAUUCCAGGUAACUAGAUACCUAUUUGCUUGUGAGUUUGGGCUUGAGGCCGGCCUAUGUAAGUGUGUGUGUGUGUGUGUGUGUGUGUGUUGUAUGCAUGUAUGUACAGUGUGUGUUUGUGUGUGUGUGUGUGUGUAGGCUGUGUAUGUAUGUGGGCCAUGUGUGUGUGUGCAGGCCCCGUGUGUGUGCGCAAGCUGUGUGUGUGUGUGUACAGUGCAUGUGUGUAUACUGUGCAUGUGUGUAUGUAUGUGUGUUGUUUGUGGUACAUGCAUGUGUGUGAGUGUGGGUUUGGGUUUAAGCCCAAACCACCAUCUUUCACCCUACACCCUUUUAACCCAAAAACCUUAGGAUCCUAAACCCAUUAGACCUUAAUCCAUUCAAGCCCAAAUAUUUUAGAAAACCCUUUUAUUUAUUUAUUUAUUAUAUUUUUGUGCUUAUGUGAAGUUGCUAGUGGGGAUUUCCUUAAUCAUUUUCCCCACAACUCUGCUACUACGAAGUAUCUGUGAGUGGACCCUUUCUAAAAUUACAUGAUUUUAUAGUUCAAUUGCAUAAAUGAAUAGCAUCCCUUACAAGUUUAUGAAUUGAUUUUAUGUUGAGCAUGUUUAUUGAAAUGUUGAUUUUCGUCUCGUGCUUUUGGUGAGGAAUUAAUUAUUGGCCUAUUUUGAGCUAUAUUUUAAUAUAUCGUAUUUUCUAUGAAAACCAUGAACUGGUAGACUAUCUGAUGAAUGACGAUAGGAUACUAGAACAUGUUUUAGAAACCCCUCUUUAUAGUAUAGAUGAUGGAUGACUUUAUACUAUGAAGUGGUUAUUUACGAGAGGCGUAACUAUUUGUGCAUACCUAGUGGACACUAUGCCGCCUAGGACGAGGAUCUGGUGUUGGCAGUUAGGCUGGGAGAAAUAAUCCCUAACUACGAGCUGAGGGACACGGAGCAGGCUUUGGGCCGGGAGUUGGUAAUCUCUGGCUACGGGCGCAGAGACCACGGUGCUGGCAUAGGGCCGGGAGAUAUAUUUUUUUUCAGUGAUCUUACUAGCGGUACACCGCGCUUACGAGACAAUCUACGAGACAAUAAACGCGAUGAUUUAUAUGAUAUUUUCCGCGUUAUACCUGUUGAGAUAUUUUAUGGCAUGAGAGUUUCAAAAAACCUAUCACUUAUUAUGCUAGUAGUUUUCAUUAUAAACUCUGGGGGUUAGUAUGUUCAUAACUGUUUUCGUAUUAUGUUUAUGUAUAUAAACUUGGUCCACUCACCCUUGUUUUGCGCCCCCUUUCAGGAUUUAGAAUUGAGGCAUACGAUCCCGACG
RNAcentral lists this long non-coding RNA (5509 nucleotides) under Malus domestica (apple). Its description in RNAcentral is "long non-coding RNA (MDOM_LNC010242)". The record is from RNAcentral. Lineage: Eukaryota; Viridiplantae; Streptophyta; Magnoliopsida; Rosales; Rosaceae.